GGAGGCAGACCUGACUCACCUAGCCGCUACGCCGCUACGACAUGAAGCUCAUAUUAGCUCCACCACAGACACAGAUGUCUCCUGGGCUGUAGGAGGCUCCCUCAGCACGGCCCGUAGCCACUGUGCAUUUGCAGUGGUAACCAACACCACAUGGCCAGGGACAGCCACAGGGAGUUAGAAAACAUGCUGCUAGUCCCAGAUAUUCACGGAGAGAUGGGAUUCCCUCCCUGCUGCCUUCACAUGAGCUCAUUACAAACAGCUCAGAGGAAAUGUACUACUAAAGCCAUCAUUGUCAAAGAAGUGACCACAAGUGCUGGAUGAUUUCUAAGCGGUAGGUAAUUGGGACACUACGUUGGGAAACUACACUGCAAGCAUAUCCCUGACAAUCCAGAGGCGUUCUUUUCGGUAUGCAACAACUGAAGCAGAACAACGGGGGCAGCAUCUUCAGUGCGAGACACUUAUUUCAGAUGAGAACAUUUCGGCGGCGUGAUUGAAAUGCUUGACGAUCACAGUGGCUCUGGUUUCAACCGAAGCUUGAGCUAUGCAAGCGCUUUGGCCGGUUUGUGCCACAAAGCCAGAAAACCAAAGUGGGCUAAGUCUCCUAGGCAACAAAAGUAUAGGCCUAGAUGACAGCUGAUGAUGUGCUCCAACAGGUGUUUGAAUUCCUCCAUCUCUUUUCAUUCACUUAGAAGUCCUAGGGCAUAUGAAACCGGUCUCAGAAGGGAUGUUCUCUAAAAGACGCAUCAUCGCUGAAUGAAGUCAUCGAUGAAAGGGGAGUCAGGAUAACUACACCCUAAAUACACCUCUUCACACAGCAGCACAGCCUUCAGUCAGCAUUCAGGGACACGAGAGAGAAUCUGUUUGACUAAGGGAAGAUGGCGCCCAUUGCCAGGCUACUGGCUGCCACAUCUGAUUAGAGGGCUGGGUGCUGAUGGACUGGCCACUCUGACCAGGAGGCUUGUUGACAUGCCCACAUCGAUCAGUACAUGUCCCAUCACGUCCAGGCCAAUGAUUUCCUCACCAGGCAGCUACGCAGACCACUGAAACAGGCCUGGGUGCCAUCACACACAUGGUAACGUGCUGGCUUCUCUCUCGCCAUAUGAUUGUCAGGGGAAACGGAAGUUGGGACGAAUAUACCAUAUCCCUGAAAACCGGAAACAUCCACCUUCUACCAAACCUGCGGAGAGUGAAGUCGGACAAAAAGCCCACAGGAGUGAGCAGGUACGGUAUGAAAAGCUGCGGGAGCGGGAGGAUGAAAUCAGUCCCACGCAGACCUAUUCAAUAGCAUUUCCACUCCCAAAGAAAACAGGGCAGAUGAAGACGGUUGUUUUUUGGGGACGAGGGAGAGGGUGUGGGUAUGUGGGGUGGAUGGUCAAACACACUAGACAUGUUGACAUAUUGGGCAGUACCAACACCCCUCUCCCUCUCUCCCGUCCAACCUCCAUCAAUAUUUCUGAGAAAAAGAAAAGUGCGAGAGGAGAGCAGUGGGAAGCAGUAAGAUAACACUCAAUAGUUUCAAGUGACUGACAGUGAGAGAGAAGAAAAAUCGAAAGAGACUGAAAAGGAGUUUGAGGAGGAAACUAGGAGGCAUUGCUAUGUAGCUAGAAGAGAGGAGAUGAGAGAGAGAGAGAGAGAGAGAGAGAGAGAGAGAGAGAGAGAGAGAGAGAGAGAGAGAGAGAGAGAGAGAGAGAGAGAGAGAUGGAAAGCAGGGCAGGGAUGAGCGGAGGGUAUGGCAGCAAUCACUCUGGCCAGAUCAGUGGAGAUGAACUGGACUGCAGCCAGCCAGAGAGAGAGGUUGAGACUGGGCACAGAGCUCCAUCUCUGGCUUUCAGCCUUUCUGUCUCACUCACUCACUCACUCUUUGUCUCUCUCACUCUAUCUCUCACCAGGGUUCUAAAUAUAAAAAAUGUAUUGGUUGCAAAACAACGAAUAGGUAACAGUGUAAAGACACUAGCUUAUUAUAAAAGUUCAAAUCAUGAUGCGAAUUAAGGGGGAGCUGAAUGAGACGUUAGAGCCUCUAAAUGAGAAGCUCUAAAUAAUGAAAUUUAACCAUUGUAAUAUUUGUUUAAAAAGCAGUGGUAAAUAUGACAGUGAAAGCUGCCAAUGAAACGAACACCCCCACCUCUCUGUCAUGGUUUAAACCAUCUAUUUCUACAGUAUGUGGUGGCGCUGUCCACUCAGUAGUGCUGAAUUUCAGCUUUAGCUGAGCUCCUUUACACAUUGAUUUUCAUUUGUACUUCCUCAUUUUUGCUAUUUGUUUGCCAUGCGGUGUUGAUAAAAAAUAUCCUUUAUUCCAAUUCAUUACAUCUAUCCAUUGAUGUAUCAUUGUUUGCUGUUGUCAGUCAGCUCUUUAGAUCACUCAUUGCUUUGUUUUUCAGGUGCUCGUGGGUGCUGGUGUUCUCCCUGCCAUCCGUGACCAGAAGUAGCAGAUCAUUUAUUUACCUUUAUUAUUUUCUAACAAUGUUUUUUCUUUCUUUCCUGGAUCAGCUGAUGGUCGGCAAUAUCACUAGACAACACGCCUACAGCUAGACACCAAUGCCGCAUCCAAUCCAUCCAACAAGUACACGUUAAUGAAAGUAGGCCUAUAGUUGACUCUUUUGGUUAGAAGCAUUCGAUUUUGCAACUGCAUAGACCUACAUUAUUUUGGAUAUGUGUGCCCAGGAGAGCUCUUUCACAGUGAAAGUUAAAUAGGCAUAGUUACACAUACAGUGUAUUUUAAGCGAUAACCAAGAGCCAUAAUUAGUACAGGGCUUAAGUUUAAUGUUUUAAUUCAAUUCUUAUUUGUUAAUAAUGACAAAUAAAUGCAAGGAUAGAAAGUUAGUGUUUUAUGUCACAGGAUCUGUGACGACUCCAAGCAUUAAUUCAGGAACUAGGGUGUAAAACAUGUUUUGAUUCAACUCGUGUAUUACAUUGAAUGUAGGCUUCCUAUUCUGCCAGGUUGUUAGCUAGCUACAACAGCCAAAGAUGUAACAUGCGUUCCUCAAAACACCACCCAGAGAGAACGUUUGCUAACAAGUGACAAACAAGUCCUCGUGAUGUGGAUGCUGAGGAACUUCAAACUUGUGACUCUCUCUACUGCAAUCCUGUUGAUGUGGAUUGGGGCAUGUUCCCUCCUCUGCUUCCUGAAGUCAACAAUCAACUGAUGUAACUGCACGAGGCAUCCAGCACUCAAUGUCCCUUUGUCUUGGCACCCAGGCCUGCUUAUUCAUCUUACCAUCUGUAUGAUAAAGUGCCACCUGAACCCGGGCCAAGAAGCCAUGUGAACUCAACUCUCAGCAUAGCAGGGGGGUGGAUGGAUAGAAGCAAGAUGGCGCCGACAGACAUGCCUCCGCCCAGUACCCUGCCCUGAACUUUAAUCACUGUUACUAGCCGGCUCCCACCCGGUACUCUACCCUGCAACUUAGAGACUGCUGCCCUACGUACACAGUCA
Molecule: long non-coding RNA, 3430 nt
Organism: Oncorhynchus gorbuscha (pink salmon)
Lineage: Eukaryota; Metazoa; Chordata; Actinopteri; Salmoniformes; Salmonidae
Exons: 3
Source: RefSeq, a predicted model, not a curated record